RNAcentral lists this ribosomal RNA (2903 nucleotides) under Escherichia coli. RNAcentral's name for it is "bacterial LSU rRNA". It matches the Rfam family "Bacterial large subunit ribosomal RNA". The record is from RNAcentral. Lineage: Bacteria; Pseudomonadati; Pseudomonadota; Gammaproteobacteria; Enterobacterales; Enterobacteriaceae.
UUAAGCGACUAAGCGUACACGGUGGAUGCCCUGGCAGUCAGAGGCGAUGAAGGACGUGCUAAUCUGCGAUAAGCGUCGGUGAGGUGAUAUGAACCGUUAUAACCGGCGAUUUCCGAAUGGGGAAACCCAGUGUGUUUCGACACACUAUCAUUAACUGAAUCCAUAGGUUAAUGAGGCGAACCGGGGGAACUGAAACAUCUAAGUACCCCGAGGAAAAGAAAUCAACCGAGAUUCCCCCAGUAGCGGCGAGCGAACGGGGAGGAGCCCAGAGCCUGAAUCAGUGUGUGUGUUAGUGGAAGCGUCUGGAAAGGCGCGCGAUACAGGGUGACAGCCCCGUACACAAAAAUGCACAUACUGUGAGCUCGAUGAGUAGGGCGGGACACGUGAUAUCCUGUCUGAAUAUGGGGGGACCAUCCUCCAAGGCUAAAUACUCCUGACUGACCGAUAGUGAACCAGUACCGUGAGGGAAAGGCGAAAAGAACCCCGGCGAGGGGAGUGAAAAAGAACCUGAAACCGUGUACGUACAAGCAGUGGGAGCCUCUUAAUGGGGUGACUGCGUACCUUUUGUAUAAUGGGUCAGCGACUUAUAUUCUGUAGCAAGGUUAACCGAAUAGGGGAGCCGAAGGGAAACCGAGUCUUAACUGGGCGUUAAGUUGCAGGGUAUAGACCCGAAACCCGGUGAUCUAGCCAUGGGCAGGUUGAAGGUUGGGUAACACUAACUGGAGGACCGAACCGACUAAUGUUGAAAAAUUAGCGGAUGACUUGUGGCUGGGGGUGAAAGGCCAAUCAAACCGGGAGAUAGCUGGUUCUCCCCGAAAGCUAUUUAGGUAGCGCCUCGUGAAUUCAUCUCCGGGGGUAGAGCACUGUUUCGGCAAGGGGGUCAUCCCGACUUACCAACCCGAUGCAAACUGCGAAUACCGGAGAAUGUUAUCACGGGAGACACACGGCGGGUGCUAACGUCCGUCGUGAAGAGGGAAACAACCCAGACCGCCAGCUAAGGUCCCAAAGUCAUGGUUAAGUGGGAAACGAUGUGGGAAGGCCCAGACAGCCAGGAUGUUGGCUUAGAAGCAGCCAUCAUUUAAAGAAAGCGUAAUAGCUCACUGGUCGAGUCGGCCUGCGCGGAAGAUGUAACGGGGCUAAACCAUGCACCGAAGCUGCGGCAGCGACGCUUAUGCGUUGUUGGGUAGGGGAGCGUUCUGUAAGCCUGUGAAGGUGUGCUGUGAGACAUGCUGGAGGUAUCAGAAGUGCGAAUGCUGACAUAAGUAACGAUAAAGCGGGUGAAAAGCCCGCUCGCCGGAAGACCAAGGGUUCCUGUCCAACGUUAAUCGGGGCAGGGUGAGUCGACCCCUAAGGCGAGGCCGAAAGGCGUAGUCGAUGGGAAACAGGUUAAUAUUCCUGUACUUGGUGUUACUGCGAAGGGGGGACGGAGAAGGCUAUGUUGGCCGGGCGACGGUUGUCCCGGUUUAAGCGUGUAGGCUGGUUUUCCAGGCAAAUCCGGAAAACCAAGGCUGAGGCGUGAUGACGAGGCACUACGGUGCUGAAGCGACAAAUGCCCUGCUUCCAGGAAAAGCCUCUAAGCAUCAGGUAACAUCAAAUCGUACCCCAAACCGACACAGGUGGUCAGGUAGAGAAUACCAAGGCGCUUGAGAGAACUCGGGUGAAGGAACUAGGCAAAAUGGUGCCGUAACUUCGGGAGAAGGCACGCUGAUAUGUAGGUGAAGCGACUUGCUCGUGGAGCUGAAAUCAGUCGAAGAUACCAGCUGGCUGCAACUGUUUAUUAAAAACACAGCACUGUGCAAACACGAAAGUGGACGUAUACGGUGUGACGCCUGCCCGGUGCCGGAAGGUUAAUUGAUGGGGUUAGCGGCAACGCGAAGCUCUUGAUCGAAGCCCCGGUAAACGGCGGCCGUAACUAUAACGGUCCUAAGGUAGCGAAAUUCCUUGUCGGGUAAGUUCCGACCUGCACGAAUGGCGUAAUGAUGGCCAGGCUGUCUCCACCCGAGACUCAGUGAAAUUGAACUCGCUGUGAAGAUGCAGUGUACCCGCGGCAAGACGGAAAGACCCCGUGAACCUUUACUAUAGCUUGACACUGAACAUUGAGCCUUGAUGUGUAGGAUAGGUGGGAGGCUUUGAAGUGUGGACGCCAGUCUGCAUGGAGCCGACCUUGAAAUACCACCCUUUAAUGUUUGAUGUUCUAACGUUGGCCCCUAAUCGGGGUUGCGGACAGUGUCUGGUGGGUAGUUUGACUGGGGCGGUCUCCUCCUAAAGAGUAACGGAGGAGCACGAAGGUUGGCUAAUCCUGGUCGGACAUCAGGAGGUUAGUGCAAUGGCAUAAGCCAGCUUGACUGCGAGCGUGACGGCGCGAGCAGGUGCGAAAGCAGGUCAUAGUGAUCCGGUUGUUCUGAAUGGAAGGGCCAUCGCUCAACGGAUAAAAGGUACUCCGGGGAUAACAGGCUGAUACCGCCCAAGAGUUCAUAUCGACGGCGGUGUUUGGCACCUCGAUGUCGGCUCAUCACAUCCUGGGGCUGAAGUAGGUCCCAAGGGUAUGGCUGUUCGCCAUUUAAAGUGGUACGCGAGCUGGGUUUAGAACGUCGUGAGACAGUUCGGUCCCUAUCUGCCGUGGGCGCUGGAGAACUGAGGGGGGCUGCUCCUAGUACGAGAGGACCGGAGUGGACGCAUCACUGGUGUUCGGGUUGUCAUGCCAAUGGCACUGCCCGGUAGCUAAAUGCGGAAGAGAUAAGUGCUGAAAGCAUCUAAGCACGAAACUUGCCCCGAGAUGAGUUCUCCCUGAGACUUAGAGUCUCCUGAAGGAACGUUGAAGACGACGACGUUGAUAGGCCGGGUGUGUAAGCGCAGCGAUGCGUUGAGCUAACCGGUACUAAUGAACCGUGAGGCUUAACCUU